CUGACUGUACGGUCACAGCGCGCCUGUGUGCCGCGCCCUUGGCGGGGAGCGGUCAAGCCAGAGCAGCGAGGUCCUGAACCAGAGACCUGACCCGGGACACGAAACAGGCGGAGGAGGCCGGGCAUGGGGCACCCCGGGGCCACCCCCUUUGAAGAUCCGCACCGGCCAGGUCACGGCUCGCGGGCCCACACUGGGGGGGUCCACCGUGGUCGAUGAGAGCGUGCGGCCAGUGUCCUAUAUCUGAGGGCAUGCCUCACUGCUCUGCAGAGUUGGGACCCAAGACCAACAAAAUACGGCAACCAAGGGGUGUCUCCCCGGCCUUCCCCGUGGACCCAGCUCUUCCACGGCUUCCAGUGGCCCCACUUGGGUGAACUUGAAGUCAGAGGCCAGAGCUCACGUGCGGAGUCGCAGAUUCCUGCUUCCUGCACAUCCAGAGAGCAGCCCUCUUCUCCUCCAUGAAGCCACAGCUUUGGGGUUGCCUGUGUUCACGGGCACCCCCGAGAUCUUCACAAAGCAGAGGAGGGAAGACUGAUCCAGCCCAAGAGGAACUACCUCCCACUGUCAGCGCCCCAAUCCACCCCUCUCUUCACAUGUCCUGUCUCUGGUAGAGUCAUCCAGCUCUCUUUUUUCCCUCCACCCUAUAGAACCCGAUUUUUGCCAGGCAUACGCUCACCCAGAAU
Molecule: non-coding RNA, 680 nt
Organism: Odocoileus virginianus texanus
Lineage: Eukaryota; Metazoa; Chordata; Mammalia; Artiodactyla; Cervidae
Source: RefSeq, a predicted model, not a curated record